AUUGAACGCUGGCGGCAGGCCUAACACAUGCAAGUCGAGCGGAUGAAGGGAGCUUGCUCCUGGAUUCAGCUGCCGACGGGUGAGUAAUUCCUAGGAAUCUGCCUGGUAGUUGGGAUAACGUCCAGAAACGGGCGCUAAUACCGCUUCCGUCCUGUGGGAGAAACUGCGGGAUCUUCUGACCUCACGCUAUUUGGUGAGCCUAGGUCGAAUUAGCUAGUUGGUGGGGUAAAGGCCUACCAAGGCGACGAUGCGUAACUGGUCUGAGAGGAUGAUCAGUCACACUGGAACUGAGACACGGUCCAGACUCCUACGGGAGGCAGCAGUGGGGAAUCUUGGACAAUGGGCGAAAGCCUGAUGGAGCCAUGCCGCGUGUGUGAAGAAGGUCUUCGGAUUGUAAAGCACUUUAAGUUGGGAGGAAGGGAAGUAAGUUAAUACCUUGAUGUUUUGACGUUACCAACAGAAUAAGCACCGGCUAACUUCGUG
This 483-nucleotide ribosomal RNA is filed under the name uncultured bacterium. RNAcentral describes it as "partial 16S ribosomal RNA". It matches the Rfam family "Bacterial small subunit ribosomal RNA", at positions 30 to 507 of the family's 1533-position model. The record is from RNAcentral.